This 746-nucleotide ribosomal RNA is filed under the name uncultured gamma proteobacterium HF0130_25M15. RNAcentral's name for it is "bacterial LSU rRNA". It matches the Rfam family "Bacterial large subunit ribosomal RNA", at positions 2180 to 2925 of the family's 2925-position model. The record is from RNAcentral. Lineage: Bacteria; Pseudomonadati; Pseudomonadota; Gammaproteobacteria.
GUGGAGCCAACCUUGAAAUACCACCCUGACAUAAUUGAAGUUCUAACCUAGGUCCAUUAUCUGGAUCAGGGACAUUGUAUGGUGGGUAGUUUGACUGGGGCGGUCUCCUCCUAAAGAGUAACGGAGGAGCACAAAGGUUCCCUCAACUCGGUCGGCCAUCGAGUUUAGAGUGCAAAGGCAUAAGGGAGCUUGACUGCGAGACAGACAUGUCGAGCAGGAGCGAAAGCUGGUCUUAGUGAUCCGGUGGUUCUGUAUGGAAGGGCCAUCGCUCAACGGAUAAAAGGUACGCCGGGGAUAACAGGCUGAUUCCCCCCAAGAGUUCACAUCGACGGGGGAGUUUGGCACCUCGAUGUCGGCUCAUCACAUCCUGGGGCUGUAGCAGGUCCCAAGGGUAUGGCUGUUCGCCAUUUAAAGUGGUACGCGAGCUGGGUUUAGAACGUCGUGAGACAGUUCGGUCCCUAUCUGCGGUGUUCGUUGGAAACUUGAGGGAAGCUGCUCCUAGUACGAGAGGACCGGAGUGGACGUACCCCUGGUGUUCCGGUUGUCACGCCAGUGGCAUUGCCGGGUAGCUAUGUACGGAAGGGAUAACCGCUGAAAGCAUCUAAGCGGGAAGCCCCUCCCAAGAUUAGGUUUCCCUGGAUCCAUGAGAUCCCUGAAGGGUCAUCGGAGACUACGAUGUUGAUAGGUCAGGUGUGGAAGCUCAGUAAUGAGUGAAGCUAACUGAUACUAAUUACCCGUGAGGCUUG